CCUACGGGAGGCAGCAGUGGGGAAUAUUGGGCAAUGGGCGAAAGCCUGACCCAGCAACGCCGCGUGAAGGAAGAAGGUCUUCGGAUUGUAAACUUCUUUUAUGAGGGACGAAGAACGUGACGGUACCUCAUGAAUAAGCCACGGCUAACUACGUGCCAGCAGCCGCGGUAAUACGUAGGUGGCAAGCGUUAUCCGGAUUUA
This 201-nucleotide ribosomal RNA is filed under the name uncultured bacterium. RNAcentral's name for it is "partial 16S ribosomal RNA". It matches the Rfam family "Bacterial small subunit ribosomal RNA", at positions 338 to 553 of the family's 1533-position model. The record is from RNAcentral.